This 484-nucleotide ribosomal RNA is filed under the name uncultured bacterium. RNAcentral describes it as "partial 16S ribosomal RNA". It matches the Rfam family "Bacterial small subunit ribosomal RNA", at positions 29 to 507 of the family's 1533-position model. The record is from RNAcentral.
AUUGAACGCUGGCGGCAUGCUUUACACAUGCCAGUCGAACGGCAGCGCGGGCUUCGGCCUGGCGGCGAGUGGCGAACGGGUGAGUAAUACAUCGGAACGUGCCCAGUAGUGGGGGAUAGCUCGGCGAAAGCCGGAUUAAUACCGCAUACGACCUGAGGGUGAAAGCGGGGGAUCUUCGGACCUCGCGCUAUUGGAGCGGCCGAUGGCAGAUUAGCUAGUUGGUGGGGUAAAGGCCUACCAAGGCGACGAUCUGUAGCUGGUCUGAGAGGACGACCAGCCACACUGGGACUGAGACACGGCCCAGACUCCUACGGGAGGCAGUAGUGGGGAAUUUUGGACAAUGGGCGAAAGCCUGAUCCAGCAAUGCCGCGUGUGUGAUGAAGGCCUUCGGGUUGUAAAGCACUUUUGGCGGGAACGAAAAGGACUGUGCCAAUACCACGGUUCGAUGACGGUACCCGCAGAAUAAGCACCGGCUAACUACGUG